GACGAACGCUGGCGGCGUGCUUAACACAUGCAAGUCGAACGGAAAGGCCCUGCUUUUGUGGGGUGCUCGAGUGGCGAACGGGUGAGUAACACGUGAGUAACCUGCCCUUGACUUUGGGAUAACUUCAGGAAACUGGGGCUAAUACCGGAUAGGAGCUCCUGCUGCAUGGUGGGGGUUGGAAAGUUUCGGCGGUUGGGGAUGGACUCGCGGCUUAUCAGCUUGUUGGUGGGGUAGUGGCUUACCAAGGCUUUGACGGGUAGCCGGCCUGAGAGGGUGACCGGCCACAAUGGGACUGAGAUACGGCCCAGACUCCUACGGGAGGCAGCAGGGGGGAAUAUUGCACAAUGGGCGGAAGCCUGAUGCAGAAACGCCGCGUGCGGGAUGACGGCCUUCGGGUUGUAAACCGCUUUCGCCUGUGACGAAGCGUGAGUGACGGUAAUGGGUAAAGAAGCACCGGCUAACUACGUG
This 468-nucleotide ribosomal RNA is filed under the name uncultured bacterium. RNAcentral's name for it is "partial 16S ribosomal RNA". It matches the Rfam family "Bacterial small subunit ribosomal RNA", at positions 28 to 507 of the family's 1533-position model. The record is from RNAcentral.